This 372-nucleotide ribosomal RNA is filed under the name uncultured organism. RNAcentral's name for it is "partial 16S ribosomal RNA". It matches the Rfam family "Bacterial small subunit ribosomal RNA", at positions 527 to 896 of the family's 1533-position model. The record is from RNAcentral.
GUAGGUGGCAAGCGUUGUCCGGAAUUAUUGGGCGUAAAGCGCGCGCAGGCGGUCCUUUAAGUCUGAUGUGAAAGCCCACGGCUCAACCGUGGAGGGUCAUUGGAAACUCGGGGACUUGAGUACAGAAGAGGAAAGCGGAAUUCCAAGUGUAGCGGUGAAAUGCGUAGAGAUUUGGAGGAACACCAGUGGCGAAGGCGGCUUUCUGGUCUGUAACUGACGCUGAGGCGCGAAAGCGUGGGGAGCAAACAGGGAUUAGAUACCCUGGUAGUCCACGCCGUAAACGAUGAGUGCUAAGUGUUAGGGGGUUUCCCGCCCCUUAGUGCUGCAGCUAACGCAUUAAGCACUCCGCCUGGGGAGUACGCCGCAAGGCUG